AUUGACAGGCCACAGAAGGGUCAUAAACCAUACACGAAAAGAUAAAAUAUUGAUCUAAGUACUUAAUUUGCAUCUCUGAACCCCCACCCCCGGCUUGUUUUUUUAGGAGGGUGUCUAAAAAUGGUCGAUUACAGACAGCCGAGUACGCAUUUUACUUUCAAGGCGUGUUUACGUUGAUUGUUAAAGUCCUGAAAACGGAUAGAUGGAAACAAAAAUGUUUGAUAUAUCUGGCUUUAG
This 237-nucleotide long non-coding RNA is filed under the name Mytilus galloprovincialis (Mediterranean mussel). Lineage: Eukaryota; Metazoa; Mollusca; Bivalvia; Mytilida; Mytilidae. The record is from RNAcentral.